UGAAAGGAGAUGCCUUUUAGACUCAUGAGG
Molecule: non-coding RNA, 30 nt
Filed under: Mus musculus (house mouse)
Lineage: Eukaryota; Metazoa; Chordata; Mammalia; Rodentia; Muridae
Source: RNAcentral